This 460-nucleotide ribosomal RNA is filed under the name uncultured bacterium. RNAcentral describes it as "bacterial SSU rRNA". It matches the Rfam family "Bacterial small subunit ribosomal RNA", at positions 338 to 790 of the family's 1533-position model. The record is from RNAcentral.
CCUACGGGAGGCAGCAGUGGGGAAUAUUGGACAAUGGGGGCAACCCUGAUCCAGCCAUGCCGCGUGUGUGAAGAAGGCCCUCGGGUUGUAAAGCACUUUCAGCGAGGAAGAACGCCUAGUGGUUAAUACCCAUUAGGAAAGACAUCACUCGCAGAAGAAGCACCGGCUAACUCCGUGCCAGCAGCCGCGGUAAUACGGAGGGUGCAAGCGUUAAUCGGAAUUACUGGGCGUAAAGCGCGCGUAGGUGGCUUGAUAAGCCGGUUGUGAAAGCCCCGGGCUCAACCUGGGAACGGCAUCCGGAACUGUCAAGCUAGAGUGCAGGAGAGGAAGGUAGAAUUCCCGGUGUAGCGGUGAAAUGCGUAGAGAUCGGGAGGAAUACCAGUGGCGAAGGCGGCCUUCUGGACUGACACUGACACUGAGGUGCGAAAGCGUGGGUAGCAAACAGGAUUAGAUACCCUGG